RNAcentral lists this ribosomal RNA (274 nucleotides) under uncultured bacterium. Its description in RNAcentral is "partial 16S ribosomal RNA". It matches the Rfam family "Bacterial small subunit ribosomal RNA", at positions 523 to 796 of the family's 1533-position model. The record is from RNAcentral.
AUACGGAGGGUGCGAGCGUUGUUCGGAAUUAUUGGGCGUAAAGAGCAUGUAGGCGGUCUGUUAAGUCUGGUGUGAAAGCCCGGGGCUCAACCCCGGAAGUGCAUUGGAUACUGGCAGACUUGAGUAUGGGAGAGGAAAGCGGAAUUCCGAGUGUAGGAGUGAAAUCCGUAGAUAUUCGGAGGAACACCAGUGGCGAAGGCGGCUUUCUGGACCAAUACUGACGCUGAGAUGCGAAAGCGUGGGGAGCGAACAGCAUUAGAAACCCCGGUAGUCC